CAGCUGAGAGGCGGGAGAAAAGGAGCUCUUGGCAGCUUGUCUGCUCCCUCGAUUGCCGGCCAGGAGAACAAGCUGGAGAGACGGCGAACAGGGCAAGUGGCUGAGGAGCCUUGGGGCUGGGCAGGGGGCAAUGGGGAGUCACAUGAGGUGCCUCUGGGGUGCCCCUCCAGGCAGUGGGGCCCCCAGACAACUGUCUCCCCUUGCCCUAUCAUUGUUACGCGCCUGUGGGUGACUCUGGGCCAGUCACUUAUCUCUCAGUCUAACCUACUCCACAGGGUUGCUGUGAGGAGAAACGCCUACCACCUCUUUGAUCUUGGAAAGCAAUGCUAGCCACCCACAGAAUCUCACCUUAUUACUCUGUAAUGCCAGUUAAUAGCUCACGGUAGUGCUGAUUGAAAGAAAGUUUAAGGCUGUGAAGAUAGUGUUGGAAUUCACCACCCAGCAGAAGCUCCUUCACAAUGAGGUAAAGUUGUUCAAUUACUUAUAGAGGAUACGUGAUUACUCUGCAACACAGCCUGACUAGAUCCAUCCUCGAACACUAGAAGAAGAGGAAGAACUAUUAAAUGGCAUGCAACUCUCUUAAAGGGACAGUAACAUGUACUACACAUAACCCAGAAUCCAACCAACACAAAAAGAUAUUUUAAAAGUGAUGUGAGAGAAGGAAAGAAGUGAAAAUGAGGCAAGCAAGUACAAAAAGUACACAAAAGUGGAAAGAUUUACAGUUCCAAAAGCUCCAGAAAUUCAGACUAGAUAUACUAUUAUCUUUAGUACUAGCAUCAUGGCUAUUAAAUGUUAUUCGUUCUAGCAAAUGACUGGGUUUUUUAAAUAAAAAAGUUAA
This is a long non-coding RNA of Hemicordylus capensis (graceful crag lizard), 838 nucleotides long. RefSeq lists it as uncharacterized. The transcript is spliced from 4 exons. Lineage: Eukaryota; Metazoa; Chordata; Lepidosauria; Squamata; Cordylidae. The record is from RefSeq and is a predicted model, not a curated record.